UAUUUUUAUGGUAUAUUAAGAAUACUUAUGGGCUGUGGGCCCAUGGAAGGGCAUUUUGCGGGGCGCGGCCCCUGUGGAGAGAA
This 83-nucleotide transfer RNA is filed under the name Oscillospiraceae bacterium. Its description in RNAcentral is "tRNA-His". The record is from RNAcentral. Lineage: Bacteria; Bacillati; Bacillota; Clostridia; Eubacteriales; Oscillospiraceae.